UCCCUCCUACGGGAGGCAGCAGUGAGGAAUAUUGGUCAAUGGGCGGAAGCCUGAACCAGCCACGUCGCGUGAGGGAAUAAGGCCCUACGGGUCGUAAACCUCUUUAGGCGGGGAGCAAUGCCGGGCACGCGUGCCCGGAGGGAGGGUACCCGCAGAAUAAGCAUCGGCUAACUCCGUGCCAGCAGCCGCGGUAAUACGGAGGAUGCGAGCGUUAUCCGGAUUUAUUGGGUUUAAAGGGUGCGUAGGCGGAUUUUUAAGUCAGCGGUAAAAUGUCCGGGCUCAACCCGGGCCGGCCGGUUAAACUG
RNAcentral lists this ribosomal RNA (305 nucleotides) under uncultured bacterium. Its description in RNAcentral is "bacterial SSU rRNA". It matches the Rfam family "Bacterial small subunit ribosomal RNA", at positions 333 to 635 of the family's 1533-position model. The record is from RNAcentral.